GUGGGGAAUAUUGGGCAAUGGGCGAAAGCCUGACCCAGCAACGCCGCGUGAAGGAAGAAGGUCUUCGGAUUGUAAACUUCUGUCAUUGGGGACGAAGGAAGUGACGGUACCCGAUGAGGAAGCCCCGGCUAACUACGUGCCAGCAGCCGCGGUAAUACGUAGGGGGCGAGCGUUGUCCGGAAUUACUGGGCGUAAAGGGUGCGUAGGCGGCGAUGCAAGUCCAUUGUGAAAAGCCCGGGCUUAACCUGGGAGGUGCAGUGGAAACUGUAUGGCUUGAGUGCAGGAGAGGAAAGUGGAAUUCCUAGUGUAGCGGUGAAAUGCGUAGAUAUUAGGAGGAACACCAGUGGCGAAGGCGGCUUUCUGGACUGUAACUGACGCUGAGGCACGAAAGCGUGGGGAGCAAACAGGAUUAGAUACCCGUGUAGUCC
RNAcentral lists this ribosomal RNA (428 nucleotides) under uncultured bacterium. RNAcentral's name for it is "partial 16S ribosomal RNA". It matches the Rfam family "Bacterial small subunit ribosomal RNA", at positions 354 to 796 of the family's 1533-position model. The record is from RNAcentral.